This 478-nucleotide ribosomal RNA is filed under the name uncultured bacterium. Its description in RNAcentral is "bacterial SSU rRNA". It matches the Rfam family "Bacterial small subunit ribosomal RNA", at positions 335 to 798 of the family's 1533-position model. The record is from RNAcentral.
ACUCCUACGGGAGGCAGCAGUGGGGAAUAUUGCACAAUGGGUAGCAACCCUGAUGCAGCCAUGCCGCGUGAUGUAGCAAGAAUGGGCCUUCGGGUUGAUAAAGCACUUUCAGUAGGGAGGAAGGUAGUGUAGUUAACACCUGCAUUAUUUGACGUUACCUACAGAAGAAGCACCGGCUAACUCCGUGCCAGCAGCCGCGGUAAUACGGAGGGUGCGAGCGUUAAUCGGAAUUACUGGGCGUAAAGCGCAUGCAGGCGGCCUGUUAAGUCAGAUGUGAAAGCCCGGGGCUUAACCUCGGAAUUGCAUUUGAAACUGGCAGGCUAGAGUCUUGUAGAGGGGGGUAGAAUUUCAGGUGUAGCGGUGAAAUGCGUAGAGAUCUGAAGGAAUACCAGUGGCGAAGGCGGCCCCCUGGACAAAGACUGACGCUCAGAUGCGAAAGCGUGGGGAGCAAACAGGAUUAGAUACCCUGGUAGGAUAG